AGAGUUUGAUCCUGGCUCAGGACGAACGCUGGCGGCGUGCUUAACACAUGCAAGUCAAGGGGGCCCAGCAAUGGGCAACCGGCGAACAGGUGCGUAACACGUGAGCAACCUACCGAACUGUGGGGGAUAGCCGGCCUAACGGCCGAGUAAUACCGCAUACGCUUUCAUUGAGGCAUUUCAGUGAAAGGAAACCUACGGGACAGAUCGAGGGGCUCGCGGCCUAUCAGCUAGUUGGCGAGGUAACGGCUCACCAAGGCGACGACGGGUAGCUGGUCUGAGAGGAUGGCCAGCCACAUUGGGACUGAGAUACGGCCCAGACUCCUACGGGAGGCAGCAGUGGGGAAUCUUGCGCAAUGGCCUAACGGCUGACGCAGCGACGCCGCGUGUGGGAUGAAGCUCUUCGGAGUGUAAACCACUGUUGCCCGGGACGAAUAGCUCGAUUAAUCGAGCCUGACGGUACCGGUGAGAAGGAACCCCU
Molecule: ribosomal RNA, 478 nt
Filed under: uncultured soil bacterium
Lineage: Bacteria
Description: bacterial SSU rRNA
Rfam family: Bacterial small subunit ribosomal RNA
Source: RNAcentral